This 297-nucleotide long non-coding RNA is filed under the name Manihot esculenta (cassava). Its description in RNAcentral is "long non-coding RNA (MESC_LNC000616)". The record is from RNAcentral. Lineage: Eukaryota; Viridiplantae; Streptophyta; Magnoliopsida; Malpighiales; Euphorbiaceae.
GGUGGUCGAAGCAUAGAAGUGCUUGGGUACUAUUUUAGAUACAAGCUUAUCUGUAGAUAAAGUUAAUCGGGACCAUUGGAUUUUGCUUGUUGAUGGGAAAAGUCAUACGAAUAUGGUAAUCCUAAGAAUCUUUUUUUGAUUGUGAAUUUCUUUAUCAAAGUGGUCACCUCACUCAAUCACUACUCGUGUAUGUCAUGCCUACUUCGAGUUUAUCAAUUUGUUGAAGCAUAUCCAUCAUAUCCUUACAAUUCUAGAAAAUUCAAUUAAAUUUCAAAUUUUAUUUUUUAUAAAAAAAAC